This 465-nucleotide ribosomal RNA is filed under the name uncultured bacterium. RNAcentral's name for it is "partial 16S ribosomal RNA". It matches the Rfam family "Bacterial small subunit ribosomal RNA", at positions 28 to 507 of the family's 1533-position model. The record is from RNAcentral.
GACGAACGCUGGCGGCGUGCUUAACACAUGCAAGUCGUACGGUAAGGCCCUUUCGGGGGUCCACGAGUGGCGAACGGGUGAGUAACACGUGAGUAACCUGCCCACAACUUUGGGAUAACGCUAGGAAACUGGUGCUAAUACUGGAUAUGUGCUCCUGCUGCAUGGUGGGGGUUGGAAAGCUCCGGCGGUUGUGGAUGGACUCGCGGCCUAUCAGCUUGUUGGUGGGGUAGUGGCCUACCAAGGCGGCGGCGGGUAGCCGGCCUGAGAGGGUGACCGGCCACAUUGGGACUGAGGUACGGCCCAGACUCCGACGGGAGGCAGAAGUGGGGAAGAUUGAACAAUGGGCGCAAGCCUGAUGCAGCAACGCCGCGUGCGGGAUGACGGCCUUAGGGUUGAAAACCGCUUUCAGAAGGGACGAAGCUUUUUGUGACGGUACCUGCAGAAGAAGCACCGGCUAACUACGUG